UUUGAUCUCUGCUCAGGACGAACGCUGGCGGCGUGCCUAAUACAUGCAAGUCGAGCGGACAGAUGGGAGCUUGCUCCCUGAUGUUAGCGGCGGACGGGUGAGUAACACGUGGGUAACCUGCCUGUAAGACUGGGAUAACUCCGGGAAACCGGGGCUAAUACCGGAUGGUUGUUUGAACCGCAUGGUUCAGACAUAAAAGGUGGCUUCGGCUACCACUUACAGAUGGACCCGCGGCGCAUUAGCUAGUUGGUGAGGUAACGGCUCACCAAGGCAACGAUGCGUAGCCGACCUGAGAGGGUGAUCGGCCACACUGGGACUGAGACACGGCCCAGACUCCUACGGGAGGCAGCAGUAGGGAAUCUUCCGCAAUGGACGAAAGUCUGACGGAGCAACGCCGCGUGAGUGAUGAAGGUUUUCGGAUCGUAAAGCUCUGUUGUUAGGGAAGAACAAGUGCCGUUCAAAUAGGGCGGCACCUUGACGGUACCUAACCAGAAAGCCACGGCUAACUACGUGCCAGCAGCCGCGGUAAUACGUAGGUGGCAAGCGUUGUCCGGAAUUAUUGGGCGUAAAGGGCUCGCAGGCGGUUUCUUAAGUCUGAUGUGAAAGCCCCCGGCUCAACCGGGGAGGGUCAUUGGAAACUGGGGAACUUGAGUGCAGAAGAGGAGAGUGGAAUUCCACGUGUAGCGGUGAAAUGCGUAGAGAUGUGGAGGAACACCAGUGGCGAAGGCGACUCUCUGGUCUGUAACUGACGCUGAGGAGCGAAAGCGUGGGGAGCGAACAGGAUUAGAUACCCUGGUAGUCCACGCCGUAAACGAUGAGUGCUAAGUGUUAGGGGGUUUCCGCCCCUUAGUGCUGCAGCUAACGCAUUAAGCACUCCGCCUGGGGAGACG
RNAcentral lists this ribosomal RNA (890 nucleotides) under Bacillus velezensis. RNAcentral describes it as "bacterial SSU rRNA". It matches the Rfam family "Bacterial small subunit ribosomal RNA", at positions 12 to 884 of the family's 1533-position model. Lineage: Bacteria; Bacillati; Bacillota; Bacilli; Caryophanales; Bacillaceae. The record is from RNAcentral.